This 88-nucleotide transfer RNA is filed under the name Klebsiella grimontii. RNAcentral describes it as "tRNA-Arg". It matches the Rfam family "tRNA". From Rfam's summary of the family: Transfer RNA (tRNA) molecules are approximately 80 nucleotides in length. Their secondary structure includes four short double-helical elements and three loops (D, anti-codon, and T loops). The record is from RNAcentral. Lineage: Bacteria; Pseudomonadati; Pseudomonadota; Gammaproteobacteria; Enterobacterales; Enterobacteriaceae.
GCAUCCGUAGCUCAGCUGGAUAGAGUACUCGGCUACGAACCGAGCGGUCGGAGGUUCGAAUGAGGUUCGAAUCCUCCCGGAUGCACCA